AAAACAUUCGGACCGUCAGUCUACCGAGCACUAUCACCCGCUCAGUGGAAGAUCUUCCCUUCGUCGU
Molecule: microRNA precursor, 67 nt
Filed under: Bombyx mori (domestic silkworm)
Lineage: Eukaryota; Metazoa; Arthropoda; Insecta; Lepidoptera; Bombycidae
Description: mir-2774 microRNA precursor family
Rfam family: mir-2774 microRNA precursor family
Source: Rfam by way of RNAcentral